This 253-nucleotide ribosomal RNA is filed under the name uncultured bacterium. RNAcentral describes it as "partial 16S ribosomal RNA". It matches the Rfam family "Bacterial small subunit ribosomal RNA", at positions 524 to 776 of the family's 1533-position model. The record is from RNAcentral.
UACGGAGGGAGCUAGCGUUGUUCGGAAUUACUGGGCGUAAAGCGCACGUAGGCGGCUUUGUAAGUUAGAGGUGAAAGCCCGGGGCUCAACUCCGGAACUGCCUUUAAGACUGCAUCGCUUGAAUCCAGGAGAGGUGAGUGGAAUUCCGAGUGUAGAGGUGAAAUUCGUAGAUAUUCGGAGGAACACCAGUGGCGAAGGCGGCUCACUGGCUCGAUACUGACGCUGAGGUGCGAAAGCGUGGGGAGCAAACAGG